UAGGGAAUCUUCCGCAAUGGACGCAAGUCUGACGGAGCAACGCCGCUUGAGUGAAGAAGGAUUUCGGUUCGUAAAACUCUGUUGUUAGAGAAGAACAGCGCAUAGAGUAACUGUUAUGCGUGUGACGGUAUCUAACCAGAAAGCCACGGCUAACUACGUGCCAGCAGCCGCGGUAAUACGUAGGUGGCAAGCGUUGUCCGGAUUUAUUGGGCGUAAAGCGAGCGCAGGCGGUCAAUUAAGUCUGAUGUGAAAGCCCCCGGCUCAACCGGGGAGGGUCAUUGGAAACUGGUUGACUUGAGUGCAGAAGAGGAGAGUGGGAUUCCAUGUGUAGCGGUGAAAUGCGUAGCUAUAUGGGUGAACACCAGUAGCGAAGGCGACUCUCUAGUCUGUAACUGACACAGAGGCUCGAAAGCGUGGGUAGCGGACAGG
This 429-nucleotide ribosomal RNA is filed under the name Bacteroidota bacterium. RNAcentral describes it as "Bacteroidetes bacterium partial 16S ribosomal RNA". It matches the Rfam family "Bacterial small subunit ribosomal RNA", at positions 355 to 776 of the family's 1533-position model. The record is from RNAcentral. Lineage: Bacteria; Pseudomonadati; Bacteroidota.